AGCGAACGCUGGCGGCAGGCCUAACACAUGCAAGUCGAACGAACCUUUCGGGGUUAGUGGCGGACGGGUGAGUAACACGUGGGAACGUGCCUUUAGGUUCGGAAUAACUCAGGGAAACUUGUGCUAAUACCGAAUGUGCCCUUCGGGGGAAAGAUUUAUCGCCUUUAGAGCGGCCCGCGUCUGAUUAGCUAGUUGGUUGAGGUAAUGGCUCACCAAGGCGACGAUCAGUAGCUGGUCUGAGAGGAUGAUCAGCCACAUUGGGACUGAGACACGGCCCAAACUCCUACGGGAGGCAGCAGUGGGGAAUCUUGCGCAAUGGGCGAAAGCCUGACGCAGCCAUGCCGCGUGAAUGAAGAAGGUCUUAGGAUUGUAAAAUUCUUUCACCGGGGACGAUAAUGACGGUACCCGGAGAAGAAGCCCCGGCUAACUUCGUG
RNAcentral lists this ribosomal RNA (434 nucleotides) under uncultured bacterium. RNAcentral's name for it is "partial 16S ribosomal RNA". It matches the Rfam family "Bacterial small subunit ribosomal RNA", at positions 29 to 507 of the family's 1533-position model. The record is from RNAcentral.